RNAcentral lists this long non-coding RNA (338 nucleotides) under Bos taurus (domestic cattle). RNAcentral's name for it is "long non-coding RNA NONBTAT011313". Lineage: Eukaryota; Metazoa; Chordata; Mammalia; Artiodactyla; Bovidae. The record is from RNAcentral.
GAAUUAAGUCUCAUUUAUUCUAGGGCAAACUCAAAAGGGUUUUUGUGUUUCCUUUUUUAGCAAAUCCUAGCACAUUAUUAACAAAAAAAAGAAAAUCUGUACAUUUGCCAUGAUACACUUGAAGGUGAAACAAAUAAGAUAUAAAUACAGAUAUGGAUGUAACAUGAAAAAGCCCCCAAAAAAACCAAAACCAAAAAACAAAAACCCAACCUGGGGAUGUGGGGGACCAUGCGUGUGAACAGUGCCAACAAAACUAUUUUGGUGGUGGAUAUUUUUCAGAGCGUUGUUCUCAUUUUCAAAUAUCAUCGUUAGCAAAGUCCUGGUGAGGUUCUACAAAG